CGUGUAGGCGGCCAAACAGGUCCGUUGUGAAAACUGGAGGCUUAACCUCCAGACGUCGACGGAAACCGUAUGGCUAGAGUCCGGAAGAGGAGAGUGGAAUUCCUGGUGUAGCGGUGAAAUGCGCAGAUAUCAGGAAGAACACCAAUGGCGAAGGCAGCUCUCUGGGACGGUACUGACGCUGAGACGCGAAAGCGUGGGAGCGAACA
RNAcentral lists this ribosomal RNA (206 nucleotides) under uncultured bacterium. RNAcentral's name for it is "partial 16S ribosomal RNA". It matches the Rfam family "Bacterial small subunit ribosomal RNA", at positions 568 to 774 of the family's 1533-position model. The record is from RNAcentral.